Molecule: long non-coding RNA, 2185 nt
Filed under: Homo sapiens (human)
Lineage: Eukaryota; Metazoa; Chordata; Mammalia; Primates; Hominidae
Description: HSALNT0128537
Source: RNAcentral
GCUUCCCGGCUGCUUUGUUUACCUAAGCAAGCCUGAGCAAUGGCGGGCGCCCCUCCCCCAGCCUCGCUGCCGCCUUGCAGUUUGAUCUCAGACUGCUGUGCUAGCAAUCAGCAAGACUCCGUGGGCGUAGGACCCUCCAAGCCAGGUGUGGGACAUAACCUUGUGGUGCGCCGUUUUUUAAGCCGGUCUGAAACGUGCAAUAUUCGGGUGGGAGUGACCCGAUUUUCCAGGUGCGUCCAUCACCCCUUUCUUUGACUCGGAAAGGGAACUCCCUGACCCCUUGCGCUUCCCAGGUGAGGCAAUGCCUCGCCCUGCUUCGGCUCGCGCACGGUGCUUGCACCCACUGGCCUGCGCCCACUGUCUGGCACUCCCUAGUGAGAUGAACCCGGUACCUCAGAUGGAAAUGCAGAAAUCACCCGUCUUCUGUGUCGCUCACGCUGGGAGCUGUAGACCGGAGCUGUUCCUAUUCGGCCAUCUUGGCUCCUCCCCGGCAUAGUCUUGAAGCUCCCUGCCUAGAGGCUGUCUUUUCCAGGAGCUAUACCUCUGCUUCACACAGGUCACUGGGUAAUAGGAUGUAAAGAGGAGUUCUCAAAACAACCUCACAGACCCAGAAUAAUCAAAACAAUUGAAGACUUAACUUCAAUUUCAAAACUUACCACAGAGCAAGAGUAAUCAAGACAGUAUGGUACUUCCCUAAGGACAAACAUAUAUGAAUGAAAGAGAAACCAGAUUUUGGAAAUUUUAAAGAGUGUCAAGACCAUUCAGCAAGGAAUGAAUAGUCUUUUCAACAAAUUGUGAGACAAUAGAUAUUCACAUGCAAAAAAUGUACCUGGACUCCUACCUCACGCCAUAUAAAAAUAUUAACUCAAAAUGGAUUAUAGGGAGGAAGUGGAGGAAGAUGACCAGAAAAAACCUUCCAGUGAUUAUCCCUAACUUGCCCUGCAGGAAGACCAAAUUGAACAACUAUCCACAAAGGAAAGCACCAUCAUAUGAGGCAAAAAUCAGAUAUGUCCUGAGAGUUUCUGAAGUUAUUUAACUGGUUCAAUGAGAAUUUAAUCAAGGUCUGCUUUAUAUCAAAAUUUAUGAUUUUUAUUCAAUGCCAUACAUAGAAUUUGUUCACAGUUAUCAUCAAACACACUCAUGUAAGUAAAUUCUAUUAGAAAAACAUGUUCUUCGGUGGUCAGAAUAUUCUGGGACUUUAGGUUAAAAUGUAUAAAUGUCAAAGUUGCAACUCAGGUUGCUAUUUUUUAUUUUUAACAGGCAUAUGCAUAGUCCUACUUCUUUUCAUUGAGUCAUUUUUGUUGGUUUAACUUUUAAAUAGUAUAUACAUUUUUCCUCUGGAACAGUUCUUGGCUAGUUUGACAGCCUUGGCAGUGUUUUCUGGGUGAGAAGUAGUUUAUAGCACUGCCUUUUAAUAGUGAGAACCAAAUGAACAGCAUAUCUAGGCAGUGAAUAAUCUUAGCACAUAGCACUCAAAUGACACGCAGUCUGAGGAAAAUGUGUAGGAGAAACUAAGUCUUACAGGGCUCCACAGCUCAGAGAUAAAAACAUAGAACAUUUGAGAUUGUACAAAACUUUCUAGUGUAUGGUGAUUAUUGAGUGUUUGUGAAUGGUUAUGUAGCAGAUGUGUAAAUAAAUGUAUCUUGUUGAGUAGAAGAUGUCACAGAAGAGAAUUCAUGAAAAUGAAAGCCACAGGCAUUGCAAAAAAUGAAAUGAUUUAACUCUUAUAUUUGUCUAUGGAUAGUAUUAUCAUAAUUAUACACAAUUAGAUCUGAUGUUCUGAAAUACUCUUCAAGAACAAUUUAAAACAUCACACUAGAUGUCCAGAGGUUAUCAACUAGAAGCCUGUUGACAGGUUAUUAGAAACACAUUGUUUGACAAUUUCUAUUUGAUUGGCUAUAGUCAGGAUACAUAUUCUCCCACCUGCUGUAGUUCUCACCAAUUGCUAUUGUAUUAAAUAAAACAUGUUUUAUUCAUUUAUUAAUAUCUUCUGCCUGGUCUGUGAAUACAGCUGAGUAUGUUUGGUUCAGUAACCUUGGCAUUUCAAUGUAAUGCCAUUUUAUUUGAUUUUUUAAUUCGUUUUUCCUCUAUAGAAACAAAUGUAUGUAAUUAGACUGACACAUAAUAUGAGCAGAGCUCCUUUGUCUCUUAAUUAGUAGUCUUUUCAGUUAAUAUAUCUUUGAAC